CCUACGGGAGGCAGCAGUGAGGAAUAUUGGUCAAUGGCCGGAAGGCUGAACCAGCCAAGUCGCGUGAGGGAUGACUGCCCUAUGGGUUGUAAACCUCUUUUAUAAGGGAAGAAUAAAUGCUACGUGUAGCCUGAUGCCUGUACCUUAUGAAUAAGCAUCGGCUAACUCCGUGCCAGCAGCCGCGGUAAUACGGAGGAUGCGAGCGUUAUCCGGAUUUAUUGGGUUUAAGGGGUGCGUAGGCGGUGUUUUAAGUUAGGGGUUAAAUCUCGGGGCUAAACCUUGAUUUGCCAUUAAUACUGUAAGACUAGAGUGUAGACGAGGUAGGCGGAAUGAGUUGAGUAGCGGUGAAAUGCUUAGAGAUAACACAGAACUCCGAUAGCGAAGGCAGCUUACCAGACUGCGACUGACGCUGAGGCACGAGAGCGUGGGUAGCGAACAGGAUUAGAUACCCCGGUAGUC
This 459-nucleotide ribosomal RNA is filed under the name uncultured bacterium. RNAcentral's name for it is "partial 16S ribosomal RNA". It matches the Rfam family "Bacterial small subunit ribosomal RNA", at positions 338 to 795 of the family's 1533-position model. The record is from RNAcentral.